Non-coding RNA from Brugia malayi, 110 nucleotides. NCBI's taxonomy places the organism in Eukaryota, Metazoa, Nematoda, Chromadorea, Rhabditida, Onchocercidae. The record is from RefSeq and is a predicted model, not a curated record.
AAAAAUUAGCAUCGGUAACGGUCGCUGCAUCGUCUGAGUUAUGCGGUUGUUUCUUGUUUUGCAUAUCGCAGAAUCGAUGCAGCAUACUGUGCUGUGUGCUUAUAUCACAU